RNAcentral lists this ribosomal RNA (232 nucleotides) under uncultured bacterium. Its description in RNAcentral is "partial 16S ribosomal RNA". It matches the Rfam family "Bacterial small subunit ribosomal RNA", at positions 128 to 353 of the family's 1533-position model. The record is from RNAcentral.
GCCUGGUAGCGGGGGAUAACUAUUGGAAACGAUAGCUAAUACCGCAUAACAGUAGAUAUUGCAUGAUAUCUGCUUGAAAGGUGCAAAUGCAUCACUACCAGAUGGACCUGCGUUGUAUUAGCUAGUUGGUGAAGUAACGGCUCACCAAGGCGACGAUACAUAGCCGACCUGAGAGGGUGAUCGGCCACACUGGGACUGAGACACGGCCCAGACUCCUACGGGAGGCAGCAUG